UCCCAGUUAACCUGGGCAGUCUCAUUAGAGUCCCCACCUAAAAAUGUUGGCAACUAAUGAUAAGGGUUGCGCUCGUUGCGGGACUUAACCCAACACCUCACGGCACGAGCUGACGACAGCCAUGCAGCACCUGUGCAGAGGCCCCGAAGGGAAGCUGCAUUUCUACAGCGGUCCUCUGCAUGUCAAACCUGGGUAAGGUUCUUCGCGUUGCAUCGAAUUAAACCACGUGCUCCACUGCUUGUGCGGGCCCCCGUCAAUUCUUUUAGGUUUCACACUUGCGUGCGUACUUUCCAGGCGGUACACUUAACGCGUUAGCUCCGACACAACUAGGGUUGAAUCUAGUUACAUCAAGUGUACAUCGUUUACGGCAAGGACUAC
RNAcentral lists this unclassified non-coding RNA (378 nucleotides) under uncultured Chlamydiales bacterium. RNAcentral describes it as "contains 16S-23S intergenic spacer region". Lineage: Bacteria; Pseudomonadati; Chlamydiota; Chlamydiia; Chlamydiales. The record is from RNAcentral.